GCGUUGUUCGGAUUUACUGGGCGUAAAGGGCGCGUAGGCGGCGCGGUAAGUCACUUGUGAAAUCUCUGAGCUUAACUCAGAACGGCCAAGUGAUACUGCAGUGCUAGAGUGUGGAAGGGGCAAUCGGAAUUCUUGGUGUAGCGGUGAAAUGCGUAGAUAUCAAGAGGAACACCUGAGGUGAAGACGGGUUGCUGGGCCAACACUGACGCUGAGGCGCGAAAGCCAG
Molecule: ribosomal RNA, 226 nt
Filed under: uncultured bacterium
Lineage: Bacteria
Description: partial 16S ribosomal RNA
Rfam family: Bacterial small subunit ribosomal RNA
Source: RNAcentral